GACGAACGCUGGCGGCGUGCCUAAUACAUGCAAGUAGAACGCUGAAGAGAGGAGCUUGCUCUUCUUGGAUGAGUUGCGAACGGGUGAGUAACGCGUAGGUAACCUGCCUGGUAGCGGGGGAUAACUAUUGGAAACGAUAGCUAAUACCGCAUAAAAUUGAUUAUUGCAUGAUAGUCAAUUGAAAGGUGCAACUGCACCACUACCAGAUGGACCUGCGUUGUAUUAGCUAGUUGGUGGGGUAACGGCUCACCAAGGCGACGAUACAUAGCCGACCUGAGAGGGUGAUCGGCCACACUGGGACUGAGACACGGCCCAGACUCCUACGGGAGGCAGCAGUAGGGAAUCUUCGGCAAUGGACGGAAGUCUGACCGAGCAACGCCGCGUGAGUGAAGAAGGUUUUCGGAUCGUAAAGCUCUGUUGUAAGAGAAGAACGAGUGUGAGAGUGGAAAGUUCACACUGUGACGGUAUCUUACCAGAAAGGGACGGCUAACUACGUGCCAGCAGCCGCGGUAAUACGUAGGUCCCGAGCGUUGUCCGGAUUUAUUGGGCGUAAAGCGAGCGCAGGCGGUUAGAUAAGUCUGAAAUUAAAGGCUGUGGCUUAACCAUAGUACGCUUUGGAAACUGUUUAACUUUGAGUGCAAGAGGGGGAGAGUGGAAAUCCUUGUGUAGAGGUGAAAGGCGUAGAUAAAAAGGAGGGAAAACCGCUGGGGCGAAAGCU
RNAcentral lists this ribosomal RNA (718 nucleotides) under uncultured Streptococcus sp. Its description in RNAcentral is "bacterial SSU rRNA". It matches the Rfam family "Bacterial small subunit ribosomal RNA", at positions 28 to 723 of the family's 1533-position model. The record is from RNAcentral. Lineage: Bacteria; Bacillati; Bacillota; Bacilli; Lactobacillales; Streptococcaceae.